This 780-nucleotide ribosomal RNA is filed under the name uncultured bacterium. RNAcentral's name for it is "bacterial SSU rRNA". It matches the Rfam family "Bacterial small subunit ribosomal RNA", at positions 42 to 835 of the family's 1533-position model. The record is from RNAcentral.
GCGCGUGCUACACAUGCAGUCGAACGGUGAAGGUGGAGCUUGCUCCGCCGGAUCAGUGGCGAACGGGCGAUUAACACGUGGGCAACCUGCCCCAGACUUCGGGAUAACUCCUCGAAAGAGGCGCUAAUACCGGAUACGAACUCUGUAGGCAUCUGCGGAGUUGGAAAGUUUUUCGGUCUGGGAUGGGCCCGCGGCCUAUCAGCUUGUUGGUGAGGUAGUGGCUCACCAAGGCGACGACGGGUAGCCGGCCUGAGAGGGCGACCGGCCACACUGGGACUGAGACACGGCCCAGACUCCUACGGGAGGCAGCAGUGGGGAAUAUUGCACAAUGGGCGCAAGCCUGAUGCAGCAACGCCGCGUGAGGGAUGACGGCCUUCGGGUUGUAAACCUCUUUUAGCAGGGAAGAAGCGAAAGUGACGGUACCUGCAGAAAAAGCACCGGCUAACUACGUGCCAGCAGCCGCGGUAAUACGUAGGGUGCAAGCGUUGUCCGGAAUUAUUGGGCGUAAAGAGCUCGUAGGCGGUUUGUCACGUCUGCUGUGAAAAUCCAAGGCUCAACCUUGGACUUGCAGUGGGUACGGGCAGGCUAGAGUGCGGUAGGGGAGAUGGGAAUUCCUGGUGUAGCGGUGGAAUGCGCAGAUAUCAGGAGGAACACCAAUGGCGAAGGCACAUCUCUGGGCCGUAACUGACGCUGAGGAGCGAAAGCGUGGGGAGCGAACAGGAUUAGAUACCCUGGUAGUCCACGCCGUAAACGGUGGGUGCUAGCUGUGGGCCACAUUCC